AACGAACGCUGGCGGCGUGGAUAAGACAUGCAAGUCGAGCGCGACUUGGAUCGUAGCAAUACGGUGCAAGUUGAGCGGCGCAAGGGUGCGUAACACGUGGGUAAUUUGCCGUAGAGUUGGGGAUAACCCCGAGAAAUCGGGGCUAAUACCGGAUGUGGUCACUGAGGGGCAUCUUUUGGUGACUAAAGCUGGGGACCGCAAGGCCUGGCGCUCUAUGAUAAGCCCGCGGCCUAUCAGCUAGUUGGUGGGGUAACGGCUCACCAAGGCUAAGACGGGUAGCUGGUCUGAGAGGACGACCAGCCACACUGGAACUGAGACACGGUCCAGACACCUACGGGUGGCAGCAGUCGAGAAUUUUUUCNCAAUGGGGGCAACCCUGAAGGAGCGACGCCGCGUGGGGGAUGAAGGGUUUCGAUCCGUAAACCCCUGUCAUUCGCGAACAAAGCUUACUGUUUAAGAGAUGGUGAGUUGAUAGUAGCGGAAGAGGAAGGGACGGCUAACUCUGUGCC
Molecule: ribosomal RNA, 509 nt
Filed under: uncultured bacterium
Lineage: Bacteria
Description: bacterial SSU rRNA
Rfam family: Bacterial small subunit ribosomal RNA
Source: RNAcentral